RNAcentral lists this ribosomal RNA (370 nucleotides) under uncultured bacterium. RNAcentral describes it as "bacterial SSU rRNA". It matches the Rfam family "Bacterial small subunit ribosomal RNA", at positions 527 to 896 of the family's 1533-position model. The record is from RNAcentral.
AGAGGGUGCAAGCGUUAAUCGGAUUUACUGGGCGUAAAGCGUGUGUAGGUGGCUCGCUAAGUCGGUUGUGAAAUCCCUGGGCUCAACCUGGGAAUUGCAGUCGAUACUGGCAAGCUCGAGUUCGGUAGAGGGUGACGGAAUUCCCGGUGUAGCGGUGAAAUGCGUAGAUAUCGGGAGGAACAUCGAUGGCGAAGGCAAUCACCUGGGCCUGAACUGACACUGUGACACGAAAGCGUGGGUAGCAAACAGGAUUAGAUACCCUGGUAGUCCACGCCGUAAACGAUGGGAACCUGACGUCGGUUUGCUCUGCGAAUCGGUGUCGAAGCUAACGCGCUAAGUUCCCCGCCUGGGGAGUACGGCCGCAAGGUUG